GCAGUGCAGCAGACUUUGCUAUUUUGGGUUUUUGAAACGGAGCCAUACUCUGGGAGGAUAAGAGAUAGCUGUGACUCUGUACUGACUCAUCAGUAUGAAGGAAAGCCAGGAACUGUCCUGAUGUGAAAGAGCAUGCUUUGACUCCUUGGGGCAUGUGGUGAUUUCUGCUAAGGGAAUACCUGCGUUUGAGCAACUGAUCUGAGAGCACAGACCCUCCAAGGGUAAUUUUGCACUUCUCGACCACUGCCACUUGCUGAAAGCUCUGGAAUAGGGGUUGUUGGUCACCUGGGAAGUUACAGCAUAGUGGGACUGCUGCACAACAGCAACACAGGCCCUAUCCACAGACGUAAAAAAAAGCACUGGGAAAGAGAUGUUUGAGACUGGAAAUGCCCCUGACUGUUGAAACAGAACUCUGAGAAGGUUGAUGGUGAUGGUGAUAAAAACACAGUCAAGGUUAGAUCUCUGGGCACUACUGCAGUGAAUUAUACAAACAAGAAUAAUAACCA
This 506-nucleotide long non-coding RNA is filed under the name Zonotrichia albicollis (white-throated sparrow). RNAcentral's name for it is "lncRNA (ENSZALG00000003866.1)". Lineage: Eukaryota; Metazoa; Chordata; Aves; Passeriformes; Passerellidae. The record is from RNAcentral.